GUUGGUAUCUUAACUCUCUCAACACUUUAAAUAUUUCAUUCCAUUCUCUUCUUGCUUGCAUGGUGUCUAAGGAGAUGUCAGAUAUAAUUCUCAUCUUUGUCCCUUCAUAGGUAAGGUAUUUUUGUCUUCAUACUUCUUCUGAAAUGUUUUCCUUAUCUUUGAUUUUCUGCAGUUUAAAAAUGUCAUGUCUAGGUGUAAUAAUAGUAUAGGUGUUUUUUAUUUUAUUUUUUAUUUUUGCAUUUAUCCAGUUUAACGUUCUCUGUGUUUCCUGGGUUUGUGGUUUGGUAUCUGAUAUUAAUUUGGAGAAAUUCCAAAUUAUUAUUGUUUUAAAUAUUUCUUCUUCUUUUCGUUUCUUGCUUCUCCUUCCAACAUUCCCAUUAUAUGUAUUUACACAUUUUGUAUUUGUGCCACAAUCCUUAAAUAUUCUGGUUUUUUUUUUUUUUUUUCAGUUUUUGUUAUACUCACUUUUCAGUUUUGGAAGUUUCUACUGAGAUAUGCUCAAGAUCAUAGAUUUUUUCCUCAGCUGUGUCCAGUCUACUAAUAAGCUCCUUGAAUGCAUUCUUCAUUUCUGUCACAGUGGUUCUGAUCUCUAGUGUUUCUUUUUGGUUCUUUCAUAGGAUUUCCAUAUAUCUGCUUACACUGUUCAUCUGUUCUUGAAUGCUGUCCAGUAUCUAUUAGAGCCCUGAGCAUAUUAAUCAUAGUUGUUUUAUAUUCCUUGUCUGAUAAGUCCAACAUUUCUGCCAUAUCUGUUUCUGAUGCUUACUCUGUCUCUCCAAAUUGUAUUUUUGCCUCUUGGUAUGUCUUGUGAUUUUUUCUUAACAGCCGGACAUAAUGUACCUGGUAAGAGGAACUGCUAUAAAUAGGCCUUUAGCAAUGUGGUAGUGAGGUGUGUGGGGAGGAGAAAUUUACUCUAUAGUCCUAUCAUUACAUUUCAGUCUUUUAAUGGGCUAAUGCUACUGAACUGUGAAUGUCACAAGUCUUUCUAGGUUUUUUUCUUCCCCCUUAGGUGGAACAGGUUGGCUGACAUGAGCUGGAAUUGGAUAUUUCCCUUCCCUCAAUCAGUUCUGCUCUGAUAAAAUCCCAGCAGAUCAGGAUCUGGUGAAAUCAUAUCUCUUGAGGUAAAGCUUGUUAAGAAGAACAGAGUACUCUGGUGAAUUGCAAAAUGGUUCCUUUUCCCUUUCCCUUACUGGAAGCAUGAAGGAACUUUUCUCUCAUAUUUACUGUGGGAACCUGGUGGAGUUCCUGGAGGUAAAUCUCACAGUAUUGUGGCAGUCUCCCUAUGAUUGGGUCUCCCGGAGUUUUUAACUCUCAGACUUGUCCACACUGAGCCGCUAGCAAUUCAUCAAUAACAGCUCAGGUUUUCCUACCCUGGCACUGGUUCCCCUAGCAGUGUCUCCUCAUGAGUCACUGCUCAGUGAAGCCAAGACUCCCUGUAUUUGUCUAUCUGUCUCUCCAAUCUUGGGGCUAAUGGUUUGCCCUAUGUCCUUAUCUUUAUUACAGAUUCAAGAAGAGUUGUUGCUUUCUCAGUCUGUUCAGCUUUUUACUUGUUUGAAAGAAUGUUGACUUUAACCCUUUUGCCAUUUAGAAAAAAGAAGUGCAGCUCACUGCCAGUGCUCAUUUAAUUUUACAUAAACAUGCUCUUUGAGGCUGAAGCAAAUAUGACUGAUUUUCAACAUGAAAAUGAAAUAUAAAAACUGGUAUUGGCAUUAUUUCUAAACAGAACUAACAUCAGAAUAGUCUGAAUCAUCAGAAUCAUCUGUUUCGGAAACAUCGUAUUCAUCCAAUGAAUCUUCAGCCAACAACUGUUCGAGAAUGAUGUUAACAUCAUGUGUAGGAAAGCUACCAUUUCUAGGAUUUCACAUUUUUAGCUAUCAAGAAUUACUAUAUUUUGUAAAUGGAAAUACCACCACUAAAACUAGAAUGCCAUAAAUAGAAUGAUGUCUUUUGUUUCCAAAGUUGAUAUACUAGAGUGAUACAAAAAUAAUAAUAAAUGCAAGAUAUUUUGUGGCAAAGUUAUUUUGGGGUAAAUGCCGCAACCAAAAGCACUGCCAGCAAGUAUUCUCAGGGCAAAUGGGAGAAGGGUUUUAAGCUUAUUUAAAUAUGAAACUGGAACACAGAAGUCCCCACAGGUAUUGCUUUAAGCUGCUAUGUUUGUGGUAAUUUGUUGUAGUAGCAAUAGGAAACUAAUAUAGCCAGCAUGAAAUCACUUCAAGGCAGAGUGUAAGAAAAUUUCCUAAGUCAAUGUGAUGUCACUUCAGGAGAGACUAUGGGCAUGAAUCUGAAGGCAUAUUGAGCUGAAACAGCUACGUCAUUUUUUAACUGUGAGGGGAGAAUCUGAGAAUCUGAGAAGAUGAGAAUGGAGCCAAGAUAGCAUAAAGUGGAUCCAAGAAAUGGAGAGAAAGAAAGUGGCAAAGCUCAUGAUUUCUCUUCUUUACUGAGUACAUAGAAACUGCUAUACACACUUUGUCAGGAAUAUUGAGUGACAUAGAUGAGCACAUUAAUGGAGAGGGAGAGGUAACACGAGAAACGGCAGCCUCCAAGGUCUUCCAUCACUCUGCAAAUUCUUACCACACAUGGCUCUGCGUAUCCCCUGACCUGACUCACUCCUCCCUAAUCUCUAAAUUCCUCCACUGUAUCUACUGGAUAUCAUAAUCUAAAGUCAGCAAAAUCUCCUAUUUUAUCAAGCCCUUUUGUAAACAUUUCUCUCUCUCUCUUUUUUUUUUUUUCACUAACUAGAUUCUCUCUGGGACACUCAAGUGUGGCUUACCCCUCUUUUAUACCAUACUUCACUAGGCCUGGAGUUAUUCUGGUAAGCAGAAUAACUCCUCCCCUUGUCCCCAAAGAUGUCCACAUUUAAACCUUAGAAUCUGUGAAUAUGUCCCCUUACAUGGCAAAAUGGACUUUGUAGAUGUGAUUAAGUUAAGGAACUUGAAAUGGGAAGAUUAUUUUGAGUUACCUAGGUAAGUCCAUUAUAAUCAUUUUGGAUUCUUAUAAGAGGGAGGCAGAAGUGUUGGAGUCAGGGAGAGAUUUGAAGAUGCUAACUGCUAGCUUUGAAGAUGGAAGAGGUCAGGAGCCAAGAAAUGCAAGCAGCCUCUACGAAGCUGGAAAAUGCGAGGAAACAGAUUUUUUUCCCUGAAGCCUCCAGAAGGAAUGCAGCCCUGCUGACACCUUGAUUUUGGCCGGUGAAAAAUGCUGCAGACUUUUGACCUUGAGAACUGUAAAAUAAUAAAUAUAUGUUGCUUUAAGACACUAAAUUUAUGGUAAUCUGUUACAGCAACAAUAAGAAACCAACACAGAUGUCUUUCUUGCUUAUCUUUGUUAUUUCCAGACCAUACUCCUCAACCCUCUUAAAGACCCCUAGCUCCUUUGAGGUAUGUGCCAUCAGGCUAAACCAUCUGCCACUCCUCCUUAUUGCUGUCAUCUGCCAACCCUCUCAUUAUUCCAUUACAUUCAUUAAAAGUAUCUGAUCUCUUCUCACUGUCUUUCCACCAUAUUUGUAUCAUCCUUUAUGCUGACAUCUGCAUCAGGAUACACAUGAUGCAUCUGAUACACCUUCCACUUGGACAUUGCAAUUUCUUAACCUGCUUACAUUCAAAGAUCUUUUCUUCUGCCUCCUCCAUCUCCAAUCUUAGAGUCAUACUAUAAAUCUUUUCAGAAAUAAUGACAGAAGUACUUCCAGAUUCUCAAUUUAAG
RNAcentral lists this long non-coding RNA (3693 nucleotides) under Homo sapiens (human). Its description in RNAcentral is "HSALNT0087346". Lineage: Eukaryota; Metazoa; Chordata; Mammalia; Primates; Hominidae. The record is from RNAcentral.